UACGGAGGUUGCAAGCGUUAUCCGGAUUUAUUGGGUUUAAAGGGUGCGUAGGCGGGAGGAUAAGUCAGUGGUGGAAACCUGCAGCUUAACUGUAGAACUGCCAUUGAUACUGUUUUUCUUGAGUAUAGUUGAGGUGGGCGGAAUGUGUAAUGUAGCGGUGAAAUGCUUAGAUAUUACACAGAACACCAAUUGCGUAGGCAGCUCACUAAACUACAACUGACGCUGAGGCACGAAAGCGUGGGGAUCAAACAGG
This 253-nucleotide ribosomal RNA is filed under the name uncultured bacterium. RNAcentral's name for it is "partial 16S ribosomal RNA". It matches the Rfam family "Bacterial small subunit ribosomal RNA", at positions 524 to 776 of the family's 1533-position model. The record is from RNAcentral.